CCUACGGGGGGCUGCAGUGGGGAAUAUUGGACAAUGGGGGCAACCCUGAUCCAGCCAUGCCGCGUGUGUGAAGAAGGCCCUCGGGUUGUAAAGCACUUUCAGUGAGGAAGAACGCCUGGUGGUUAAUACCCAUCAGGAAAGACAUCACUCACAGAAGAAGCACCGGCUAACUCCGUGCCAGCAGCCGCGGUAAUACGGAGGGUGCGAGCGUUAAUCAGAAUUACUGGGCGUAAAGCGCGCGUAGGUGGCUUGAUAAGCCGGUUGUGAAAGCCCCGGGCUCAACCUGGGAACGGCAUCCGGAACUGUCAAGCUAGAGUGCAGGAGAGGAAGGUAGAAUUCCCGGUGUAGCGGUGAAAUGCGUAGAGAUCGGGAGGAAUACCAGUGGCGAAGGCGGCCUUCUGGACUGACACUGACACUGAGGUGCGAAAGCGUGGGUAGCAAACAGGAUUAGAUACCCUUGUAGUC
RNAcentral lists this ribosomal RNA (465 nucleotides) under Vreelandella stevensii. RNAcentral's name for it is "partial 16S ribosomal RNA". It matches the Rfam family "Bacterial small subunit ribosomal RNA", at positions 338 to 795 of the family's 1533-position model. Lineage: Bacteria; Pseudomonadati; Pseudomonadota; Gammaproteobacteria; Oceanospirillales; Halomonadaceae. The record is from RNAcentral.